GAUGAACGCUGGCGGCGUGCAUUAGGCAUGCAAGUGGAACGAUUUGGCUUCGGCCAAAAAGUCGCGAACGGCUGAGUAACACGUAGGAAUCUACCCCUUGGCGGAGAAUACCCAUUCGAAAGAGUGGUUAAUACUGCAUAAGAUCGCAAGAUGAAAGGGCGUAACUGCCCACCGAGGGAAGAGCCUGCGGCCUAUCAGCUUGUUGGUAGGGUAAAAGCCUACCAAGGCUACGACGGGUAGGGGGCGUGAGAGCGUGUACCCCCAGAAUGGCACUGAGAUACGGGCCAUACACCUACGGGUGGCAGCAACCGGGAAUUGUGCGCAAUGGACGAAAGUCUGACGCCGCGACGCCGCGUGAAGGAUGAAGGCCUAUGGGUCGUAAACUUCUUUUGCCAAAAGGGAGACCUUUUGGAGAAUAAGCACCCGCUAACUACGUGCCAGCAGCUGCGGUAAGACGUAGGGUGCAAGCGUUAUCCGGAUUUAUUGGGCGUAAAGCGUUUCGUAGGCGGUUUGACAAGUCAUACUUUAAAGACCGGGGCUUAACCUCGGAAGGGGGUAUGAUACUUUCAGACUUGAAGAAUGUCGGGGCUACUGGAAUUGUCGGUGUAGGGGUGAAAUCCGUUGAUAUCGACAAGAACACCAAGGGCGAAGGCGGGUAGCUGGGCAUUAUUUGACGCUGAGGAACGAAAGCUAGGGUAGCGAGAGGGAUUAGAGACCCCUGUAGUCCUAGCCGUAAACGAUGCUCGCUAGGGAUUCCCGAUUUAUCGGGAGUCUCGUAAGCUAACGCGUUAAGCGAGCCGCCUGGGGAGUACGACCGCAAGGUUAAAACUCAAAGGAAUUGACGGGGACCCGCACAACCAGUGGAGCAUGUGGUUUAAUUCGAGACAAACCGAAGAACCUUACCUGGACUUGACAUCCUAGCUGCACGUCGCUAGAAAUAGCGAUUUCUUCGAGAGUGCUAGGACAGGUGUUGCAUGGCUGUCGUCAGCUCGUGCCGUGGGGUGUUCCCUUCAGUGGGGUAACGAGCGCAACCCCUGCCGUAUGUUGAAUUGUUCAUACGGGACUACCCCGCUUUGCGGGGAGGAAGUGGGGACGACGUCAAGUCAGCAUGGCCCUUAUGUCCAGGGCUACACACAUGCUACAAUGGAGCCGACAAUGGGUUGCCAAGCGGUAACGCGGAGCUAAUCCCAUCAAACGGCUUCUCAGUGGGGAUUGAGGGCUGCAACUUGCCCUUAUGAACGAGGAAUUGGUAGUAAUCGCGGAUCAGCCAAGCCGCGGUGAAUACGUUCUCGGGUCUUGUACACACCGCCCGUCAAGUGAGUAAAGUUGGGAGCACCCGAAGUCGUCGUGAGACGACGAAGGUGAGAUCAGCGACAAGCACUAAGUCGUAACAAGGUAACCUUAAU
This 1406-nucleotide ribosomal RNA is filed under the name uncultured bacterium. Its description in RNAcentral is "bacterial SSU rRNA". It matches the Rfam family "Bacterial small subunit ribosomal RNA". The record is from RNAcentral.